UACGAAGGGUGCAAGCGUUACUCGGAAUUACUGGGCGUAAAGCGUGCGUAGACGGUUAUUUAAGUCGGGUGUGAAAGCCCCGGGCUCAACCUGGGAAUUGCAUUCGAGACUGAAUAGCUAGGGUACGGUAGAGGGAAGUGGAAUUUCCGGUGUAGCGGUGAAAUGCGCAGAUAUCGGGAGGAACACCAAUGGCGAAAGCAGGUACCUGGACUAUUACUGACACUCAGCUGCGAAAGCUAGGGGAGCAAACAGG
This 253-nucleotide ribosomal RNA is filed under the name uncultured bacterium. Its description in RNAcentral is "partial 16S ribosomal RNA". It matches the Rfam family "Bacterial small subunit ribosomal RNA", at positions 524 to 776 of the family's 1533-position model. The record is from RNAcentral.